GCAGUGGCGCACGGGUGAGUAACGCGUGGGAACCUACCCUGAGGUUCGGAAUAACGGCUGGAAACGGCCGCUAAUACCGGAUGUGUCCUAUGGGGCAAAGGCUUGCCGCCUUGGGAGGGGCCCGCGUCCGAUUAGCUAGUUGGUGAGGUAACGGCUCACCAAGGCGACGAUGGGUAGGGGGCCUGAGAGGGUGAUCCCCCACACUGGUACUGAGACACGGACCAGACUCC
This 230-nucleotide ribosomal RNA is filed under the name uncultured bacterium. RNAcentral describes it as "partial 16S ribosomal RNA". It matches the Rfam family "Bacterial small subunit ribosomal RNA", at positions 92 to 339 of the family's 1533-position model. The record is from RNAcentral.